CGGGCUCGCCACUGGGGGGCGCCGGGAAGAUGAACAUAGGCGGCGCCAGCAGGGCAGGUCUCUACACUCAGGCUCCACCCCUCUCCCCAAACUCUGCCUUGGCUCCUCCACCCAGAAGACUCCACUCACUGACUCCUUCAGCCCGACCAAGUUCACACCGCAGCCCCCUGGGCCCAGGGCAGGGCGGGGAACGGCCGUAGCAGAAAAUAACGGAAAAGAACGGGGAUGAGGGCUGGCUGCCUCUUUCUGCAAGACUGACUGUCCUUCCUCUGCGAGCCCGGGCCUAUCCACCGUGGACCCGCCCCUUCCAUGACGCACCCUCUUGCCGGCUCCUCACUCAGACUCUUCAACCCCGCCCCCUGGAGAAGGCACCCUGCUCGCCCCACCCCUUUUCAAACCCUGCCAGGCACACGGCCCCUCCCAUUUAGAGCCCAAAUCCGAGACCACCCUCUUUAGGGGCCAGAGACCAGGCCCUAACUCAGUGCCCUCUUCUCCUUCGAACCAGGGACAAAUGGGGCAGAGGAGUGGGAAACUGGGGGAUCUCCUCUGGAUCCUGAGGAAAUGGGGCUGGGGGGUUAUUCCUUGAAGCUGAUGCCGGGCUCUAGGACCCAGCGGGCAAGCGUGCCCGCCUCGCUCUCACCCCUCCCCCAACCGCCCCCUC
Molecule: non-coding RNA, 661 nt
Organism: Heterocephalus glaber (naked mole-rat)
Lineage: Eukaryota; Metazoa; Chordata; Mammalia; Rodentia; Bathyergidae
Source: RefSeq, a predicted model, not a curated record